UCCAGAGUACGGCCAGACACGUGAAACCUGGUCGGAAUAUGGGGGGACCACCCUCCAACCCUAAAUACUACCCAGUGACCGAUAGCGUAUAGUACUGUGAAGGAAAGGUGAAAAGCACCCCGGGAGGGGAGUGAAAAAGAACCUGAAACCCUGUGCCUACAAGCACCUAGAGCACGUCAAUGUGUGAUAGGGUACUUUUUGUAGAACGGUCCGGCGAGCGAUUGUAUGCAGCAAGGUUAAGGACUUAAGGUCUGGAGCCGAAGCGAAAGCGAGUUUGAAAAGGGCGUUAAGUUGCAUACAAUGGGCCCGAAACCGGGUGACCUACCCAUGGUCAGGUUGAAGUGGAAGUAAAAUUCCAUGGAGGACCGAACCGACCUCCGUUGAAAAGGCGGCGGAUGAACUGUGGGUAGCGGAGAAAUUCCAAUCGAACCCGGAGAUAGCUGGUUCUCCCCGAAAUAGUUUUAGGACUAGCCUCAAGUUAGAU
This 484-nucleotide ribosomal RNA is filed under the name Faecalibacterium prausnitzii. RNAcentral describes it as "partial 23S ribosomal RNA". It matches the Rfam family "Bacterial large subunit ribosomal RNA", at positions 406 to 892 of the family's 2925-position model. Lineage: Bacteria; Bacillati; Bacillota; Clostridia; Eubacteriales; Oscillospiraceae. The record is from RNAcentral.